AAAAGAUCAUGCAGCUGUUUGAAAAGUGAUCGUAUUGAUGUAUUUUUUAUCAUAUUUCGCACAGACAAGUGCUUAAAUGCUGCUUGUUUUUCUAUGCAUAACGGGUCAUUUUGUUGCGUUUCUGGAGUGGCUAUAAAAAAGUUGACUUAUUGGUCAUUUAUAAAAAGUGCGUGGAAGCGUCAACAGCAAAAGUGUUAAAUAUUAAAAAGUGAUAAAAAAAAUAUUAAAAAGUGUACGUUUAUCUAUUUGUUUGUUUAUUUAUUUAUUGUUUUAAUAAAGAAAAAAUGUCAGCAAGCCAAUUUAAAAAAAUAGAAAAGGCUAAAAUAAAAAGGAUGGCAAAAAAUGAAUUGGUGCAGCAAAAUGAAACGAUACUUAAACAAUUUAAAGAAUUUAUUGCAAAAACCGGCGGUGAAGGACCCCCUCAAUUCCUUCGGGCUGCCGUUCGAAAGAUUUUUUCUGACAAUUUAGCCUGCCAAUACAGCUGGAAGGGCACCAGUGUAAAGCCAAGUGCAGAAAAGUGUUAUUUAGUGACAGUAAUCAAAAAUAUUUGUCAUCUAAAAUACACAAGUAACGACAAGGAUAUGAACACAAUCCUUCAGAAACAUUUUGUUCACGCUCGAGACCGGGUUACAAAAAGAAAACGAUCAGAUUGAAGUUCCUGAUUUUUUUAUUUUUUUGUUUUUUCUUUUUUUAUUUAAUUUUUUACUAUAUUUUUUACCACUGGCAUUUACUAAAUAA
This is a long non-coding RNA of Musca domestica (house fly), 738 nucleotides long. RefSeq lists it as uncharacterized. The transcript has 3 exons. The record is from RefSeq and is a predicted model, not a curated record. NCBI's taxonomy places the organism in Eukaryota, Metazoa, Arthropoda, Insecta, Diptera, Muscidae.